This 2735-nucleotide long non-coding RNA is filed under the name Triticum aestivum (bread wheat). RNAcentral describes it as "long non-coding RNA (TAES_LNC018667)". Lineage: Eukaryota; Viridiplantae; Streptophyta; Magnoliopsida; Poales; Poaceae. The record is from RNAcentral.
UGAAAUUUCACUUAAAUGCCCAAUGUAAUUACAUUGAAAAUUCACAGUAAUUACAUACAGUGUGUUACUCUGAAUAUCCACUGAAAAAAUUACAUACACUGUAAUUACUCUGAAUAUACACUGUAAUUACACUGAAAAAACAUUGUACUUACACUGUAAUUACUCUAAAUAUACACUGUAAUUACACUGAAAAAACAUUGUACUUACAUUGUAAAAGACUAUGUAAUUGCAGUUCAAUUUGACUGCAAAAAAUACAACGGAAUACAGUAUAAUAUCUCUGAAAAUCCUCUUAAAUGCCCAUUGUAGUUAGACUAAGAAAUCACUGUAAUUACAUUGUAAUGUAAACUGGGAUUACUCUAGAAAAUCCACUAAAAUCCCCAUGGUAAUUGCACUGAAAUUCCAUUCUAGUUACAAAUAAAAAACACUGUAACUCUACUGAAAUGCAAUGUAAUUACACAACUAGAAAAAAUACACAUUAUUUGAGCACUUGAUAUGUCAACACUCAAUAGUAGCUUCACUUUCAGCUCCUAGUUAAUUGCACAUCUCUAAUAUGCAAGCACCUGCAAAAUCACCAGAUAAUUUGCAGAGAUCACAUAAUCUAUCUAUUCCACGGCACAAAACUGGUCAGUUUGCAUAAAAGCACUAGGGACAUAGCAUAACCACAAUAUUUAGCAUGUACAGUGGCAAAAAAAAAGAGCAUUUCCAAAGUAGUAAAUUAUAGUAGCUAUAAGCCCCAAAACAUUGAAAAUACAGUUACCAAGCUGCUGAAAUUACAUAUACUAGAAAAUCAUGUGCACAACUAAGGUUUCUUACACAAAUGGGCAGAAAUAAAGUACGAGUAUACAAAUAACCCUAACAAAAGAAAAUAAAUGGUUCUAAAGUGAAUGCACCAACAAUGACAAAACACAAAACAUCCAGAGAGGUAAAUUAACUAAAAGAUAAUGUGAUUACUCUAAAAUCCUCACUGUAAUUACACUGAAAUCCCCACUGUAAUUACAAUUCAAAAGCACUAUAAUUCCACUGAAAAUGCACACAAUAAUUGCACUGAAAUUUCAUUGAAAAUGCACACAGUAAUUGCACUAAAAUUUUACUGAAACAUACAUUGUGUUCAGUACAAAUUUCAGUAAAAUUACACUGUAUUUCUAAUAAAAACAUAUGCGUUUAAGAGACUAGAACAUUGUGAUUACACUUUAGUUUCAGUAUUUUCCAUUUAGACUUUCAAAUGGUAAAAUGGAUUCAAUACAAAUCCAACAAAGAGAAACCCAAAAUGUUAGGUUCUAAAAGUGCAAGCGGGCAUUGCAAAACUAGGAAACUUCCACGACUUGCCUAUGGAACUUGCAGUACUAAAAAACUAGGAAACUCACCAGUGUGAUAAAAAUUCAAAAAUGUUGCAAACUAAUGGAAUUCAAAUGGAAGUUACACUACUUACUUAUGGAACUUACACUACUGAUUAGGGAACUCAAACCUAUGACUACAUGACUCGUCGAGCGGGGCCUUGAUUUCUAUAAACACCUCACCAUUGAAUGAGAAACUUAGUCUCCGAAACGACUAAGACAGAAGACAUGGUCAAGCCGACGCCGCCCUUGCUCACAUGCCCGAAUGGAAUCAAUAUUUCCUUCGUCUAGUCUGGAAGGGAAAAAGACUGGCAGGGAACAGGACCGUGACUCUAAACCAUUACAUGAAAGAGAAGUUCAUUCUCGUCAUGAUCUUGAAAUGUAACACACACAAAACCCUAAGCAUCAAAUAUAUGAGGAUACAACAACACUGACAUGACCAUAUCAAACCAUACUACAGAAUGAGUGAAAAACUGAAAUUGCAUAACACCAAAACUGAAAAUUACACAACCUAAUAAGGAGAUAGCAUCUAAAGUACCAACACCACACUACAGAAGUACUAGGGCAGAGAAAUUCAUGAACAAAAAAUAGCUGAAGAUACAACACAGACCACCAAACACAUACAAAACCAAAACAGAAUGAAUAAGAACAUUCACAUGACUAAGAACCUGACUUCAGACGAGGGAGGUUUUCCUAAAUUACUACUGCAUCUCUACAUCCCUUGAACCUAAAUUCAGAUCAAGGAUUGACAAUUAGGACCUGCAUCUACAUCACAAGGGCCAUUAGAAUAAAAAUUGACUGGUGAACCAAAUUCAGAGCAAGGAGCAAGGAUUGACCAUUAGCACCUACUUCUACAUCACACAGACGAGCAAAAUCAACUGACCAGGGCAAAGGAAAUUUAGAGCAAGGACUGAAAUAAGCAACUGCAUCUAGAUCACACGAACAUACAAAAACAAACGACCAUGGAACCUACAUCUAACCCCCAAAAAACACCCUCUGAAUCAAACUCCCAGGCUAGCAGAUAUCAAAUCAACGAGGGAAGAGCAAGGACCCACAUCUACAUAACAAGAACGAUCAGGAAUAAAACUACCAAUACCACUAGAUCCAGCAGAUCAGACGCCUAGGCCAGCACAUAGAAAAUUGACAGGGGAAACGAAUCCACCGCUACAUCCAUGCACCUACCACUACAAGAACAACAAAAAUCGCUAGAGAAAAUCCACCGCUACGAGUACACGUACACGUACAUCUAUAUCAAGCACCAGGGGAAUCGAAUCAAACCAGUAGAUCUAGAAGAAAUCCAAUGGGGAAAGAGAGCAGACGAGAAUAACCAACCGAAACCACAAGGAACUGGAUCAGAAAUCAAGUUGCAGUAGAGAAGGAGCUCGGAAUCGCCAUGGUCGA